Molecule: ribosomal RNA, 283 nt
Filed under: uncultured bacterium
Lineage: Bacteria
Description: partial 16S ribosomal RNA
Rfam family: Bacterial small subunit ribosomal RNA
Source: RNAcentral
AAUCCUACGGGAGGCAGCAGUGGGGAAUAUUGCACAAUGGGGGAAACCCUGAUGCAGCGACGCCGCGUGAGUGAAGAAGUAUUUCGGUAUGUAAAGCUCUAUCAGCAGGGAAGAAAUACUGACCUUACGGUCAGCAGACGGUACCUGACUAAGAAGCCCCGGCUAACUACGUGCCAGCAGCCGCGGUAAUACGUAGGGGGCAAGCGUUAUCCGGAUUUACUGGGUGGAAAGGGAGCGUAGACGGCAGCGCAAGUCUGAAGUGAAUGCGUAUGGCUUAACCAUG